This 532-nucleotide ribosomal RNA is filed under the name uncultured bacterium. RNAcentral describes it as "bacterial SSU rRNA". It matches the Rfam family "Bacterial small subunit ribosomal RNA", at positions 977 to 1509 of the family's 1533-position model. The record is from RNAcentral.
GGCCUUGACAUACUAAGAACUUUCCAGAGAUGGAUUGGUGCCUUCGGGAACUUAGAUACAGGUGCUGCAUGGCUGUCGUCAGCUCGUGUCGUGAGAUGUUGGGUUAAGUCCGCAACGAGCGCAACCCUUUUCCUUAUUUGCCAGCGGGUCAUGCCGGGAACUUUAAGGAUACUGCCAGUGACAAACUGGAGGAAGGCGGGGACGACGUCAAGUCAUCAUGGCCCUUACGGCCAGGGCUACACACGUGCUACAAUGGUCGGUACAAAGGGUUGCUACCUCGCGAGAGGACGCUAAUCUCAAAAAGCCGAUCGUAGUCCGGAUCGCAGUCUGCAACUCGACUGCGUGAAGUCGGAAUCGCUAGUAAUCGCGGAUCAGAAUGCCGCGGUGAAUACGUUCCCGGGCCUUGUACACACCGCCCGUCACACCAUGGGAGUUUGUUGCACCAGAAGUAGGUAGUCUAACCGCAAGGAGGACGCUUACCACGGUGUGGCCGAUGACUGGGGUGAAGUCGUAACAAGGUAAGCGUAGAUGA